GACGAACGCUGGCGGCGUGCCUAAUACAUGCAAGUCGAGCGGAAUGAUGAAGAAGCUUGCUUCUUCUGAUUUUAGCGGCGGACGGGUGAGUAACACGUGGGCAACCUACCUUGUAGAUUGGGAUAACUCCGGGAAACCGGGGCUAAUACCGAAUAAACCAUUUUGCUUCAUGGCAAGAUGUUGAAAGGCGGCUUCGGCUGUCACUACUAGAUGGGCCCGCGGCGUAUUAGCUAGUUGGUAGGGUAAUGGCCUACCAAGGCGACGAUACGUAGCCGACCUGAGAGGGUGAUCGGCCACACUGGGACUGAGACACGGCCCAGACUCCUACGGGAGGCAG
Molecule: ribosomal RNA, 337 nt
Filed under: uncultured bacterium
Lineage: Bacteria
Description: bacterial SSU rRNA
Rfam family: Bacterial small subunit ribosomal RNA
Source: RNAcentral